Molecule: ribosomal RNA, 478 nt
Filed under: uncultured bacterium
Lineage: Bacteria
Description: partial 16S ribosomal RNA
Rfam family: Bacterial small subunit ribosomal RNA
Source: RNAcentral
GAUGAACGCUAGCGGCAGGCCUAACACAUGCAAGUCGAGGGAGAAGCCCUUUCGGGGGCAGAAACCGGCGCACGGGUGCGUAACGCGUAUGCAACCUACCUUUCACAGGGGGAUAGCCCGAAGAAAUUUGGAUUUAUACCCCAUAAUAUUAUUGGAUGGCAUCAUUUGAUAAUUAAAACUGCGGUGGUGAAAGAUGGGCAUGCGUCCUAUUAGCUAGUUGGAGUGGUAACGGCACCCCAAGGCUACGAUAGGUAGGGGUCCUGAGAGGGAGAUCCCCCACACUGGUACUGAGACAGGGACCAGACUCCUACGGGAGGCAGCAGUGGGGAAUAUUGGUCAAUGGUCGGAAGACUGAACCAGCCAUGCCGCGUGCAGGAAGAAUGCCUUAUGGGUUGUAAACUGCUUUUAUAUGGGAAGAAUAAGGCGUACGUGUACGUUGAUGACGGUACCAUAUGAAUAAGCAUCGGCUAACUCCGUG